UGAGGAAUAUUCCACAAUGGGCGAAAGCCUGAUGGAGCGACGCCGCGUGCGGGAUGAAGCCCUUUGGGGUGUAAACCGCUUUUUCAGGGGAUGAUACGUGCCGCAAGGCACUAAGACAGUACCUUGAGAAUAAGCAUCGGCUAACUACGUGCCAGCAGCCGCGGUAAUACGUAGGAUGCAAGCGUUGUCCGGAUUUACUGGGCGUAAAGCGCGCGCAGGCGGUCCAAUAAGUAUGGCGUGAAAUCUCCCUGCUCAACGGGGAGGGUGCGUUGUAGACUGUGGGACUUGAGGUCGGUAGAGGGGGGUGGAAUUGCUGGUGUAGCGGUGAAAUGCGUAGAGAUCAGCAGGAACACCCGUGGCGAAGGCGGCCCCCUGGGCCGUACCUGACGCUGAGGCGCGAAGGCUAGGGGAGCGACCCG
Molecule: ribosomal RNA, 419 nt
Filed under: uncultured bacterium
Lineage: Bacteria
Description: bacterial SSU rRNA
Rfam family: Bacterial small subunit ribosomal RNA
Source: RNAcentral